RNAcentral lists this ribosomal RNA (928 nucleotides) under Triticum aestivum (bread wheat). Its description in RNAcentral is "partial small subunit ribosomal RNA". Lineage: Eukaryota; Viridiplantae; Streptophyta; Magnoliopsida; Poales; Poaceae. The record is from RNAcentral.
UUGGUCUCGAUGGCCUCGUCGUUCAAUUCCAAAUCGCGUACAGAGCGGCGGCCCCAACGCUGUCGGCGGCGGCGGCCCAGAUCCAUCCUCAAGCUGGGCGAAUUCAGAAAAUCUACGAUGGCUCCUGGCGAUCACGUCGCCGGCGGUGCUGUUUGAGGCAGAUCAAAUCAGAUCUCCUCUGCUACUAAGCUCAUCUCGCAGUGUGCUCGUCGCAGGCUCGCAACCUCUCAUCUGAAUCUCCGGUAGCGGUCGGUUCGUCGCCUCCUCUCUCUCUCUCACGCACCAGGAUCAGCUCGUGUCCUCCUCCCCCUCGUCAGCAGCAAGCCGGUGGUGAGCUCCUCGGCUCCUUCCCAACCGCCCCAUGCGACGUGGUGCGAACCUACAAAUCCUCGAUACGGUUGUUCAUUUUCCUGGAUCCAGUAAUGGAGGGCGGAAGCGUGACAUCGCCUUUAGGAGUGCCCAUGGUUGCAAUGACCACAGCAUGUGCGCCAGCACUAUCAGAGAUUAAUUCACCCAUGCUUCUCAUUGAUGAUUUCAGUACUCCAAAAAAGAAAGAAUCAUUCUCUCAAGAGCUAGGUAGAUUGAACUGAUCAAGUGUAUAAGAGUUCAUGGAGGUUAAAAACUCUCGUAUAGAAGCUGGAAUGCCAGCGGAUGAAGCUCGAUCAACAGGAAGCACUAAAACAGGACGCAAAAUGAUACUCAUAGAUCUUUUCUGUCAUGUACUAUCAAGAUGCUUGUUGGACGGUGAUAGUUUCAGUCAUUUACACUUGGGUCUGCUGGCCAUGUACUAAAAGUGUUCUAUGUAUACCUCAUGUGUUGUAUUCUCAUGUACUCAAAUACUCAAAAUGAUGUGGUGAUAAUUCCAGUCCUUAAUUUGCUCAUGCACUACUUCUAGUUUGACAUGUAUAUGUAGUUCUGCUUGUUCUGG